This is an RNA transcript of Amphimedon queenslandica, 1120 nucleotides long. RefSeq lists it as uncharacterized. The record is from RefSeq and is a predicted model, not a curated record. Lineage: Eukaryota; Metazoa; Porifera; Demospongiae; Haplosclerida; Niphatidae. The transcript has 6 exons.
UCAAACUACCAGCUUUACAAUAAUUUACAGCAAUUGUUUCAUCCAGUCAUGCUACUCAAUACUGUUGCAUUACUAUUAGGAGUAGAACUUAUUCUACUCUACUCUGGAUUGGGAGAUGGUGCUUUCACUAACUUUCAGUGUACUGAUGGGCCAGUAUGUGCAGGGGAUAAAAUAGAAUGCAGCUGCACAACAGAUACUGGUGCUCUAGACUGGUUCAUAAGUUAUAGUCCAGUAGAUACUUCAAUGUGGAGCCCAAUCCUAAGUGUUUCAUUUAAUAAAGCUACAACAAAUGAAGAAUAUUAUUAUGGCUAUAAUUUCAAAUUUAAUACAACUUAUACAGGUCUGAACACUUCAAUACUGACCUUUAAUCUUAAUCACUCUGAGAGUGUACGCAUUGAAUGUGCAAAUGGAGAUUAUGGUGAUAAAAUGAACACAAAAGUUACUGAUUUAGCUUACUACAAUGUAAAAUUGGCAAUACAGGGUACAAUGAAGCUGUAAUAAUCACAUAAGAGUUACGUAAAUUUGUUGUUUUGAAAGUUAUUAUGCAAAAGCACCGACAAACUUAACAACAACCUUCAAUCCAAGUGGAGUUACUUUACAAUGGGAGGACACUGGGAAUAACUGUACUUCUACUGAGUAUCAAGUGACUGUUAUUAGUUGUUUAUGUACAUCAACCAGUGUAUUGAUGUAUAAUACUAGCAAGACAGCUUUACAUUUAAGCUCAAGGGAUUUAUUAGAGAAUGUAACCUAUACAUACACUGUUAGAGGAUGGAAUGAACAGGAAAGUAAUAACAGUAAACCAUUCACACUUGCUCCUGUUGAAGUGAUGAGUGUUACAAUAAACAUAACUAAUACUACUGAUCCUUGUAAAAAUAAUAUUUGCUGUAUCAAUGUUACACUGAAUAUAAUACUGGAAUCAUUAGACAUAUGCUUUAAGCAUCCAAAUCAGUACUAUAGCAUAUCAUAUAAUCCCAGUACUGGACAUAUACCUGCAUCAUUUAAAAUAAAUGAAACAGAAUUUGGAAAAUUAAGACUAAACUUCAAUGAGACCCAUUGCUUAGUCACACCAACGAAGCCAAUAAGUAUGUUGUAUGUGUAAUGGUUAAUAUAUUGAGUACUU